RNAcentral lists this ribosomal RNA (221 nucleotides) under uncultured bacterium. RNAcentral's name for it is "partial 16S ribosomal RNA". It matches the Rfam family "Bacterial small subunit ribosomal RNA", at positions 524 to 744 of the family's 1533-position model. The record is from RNAcentral.
UACGAAGGGGGCUAGCGUUGCUCGGAAUUACUGGGCGUAAAGCGUGCGCAGGCGGCUUUGCAAGACAGAUGUGAAAUCCCCGGGCUCAACCUGGGAACUGCAUUUGUGACUGCAAGGCUAGAGUACGGCAGAGGGGGAUGGAAUUCCGCGUGUAGCAGUGAAAUGCGUAGAUAUGCGGAGGAACACCAAUGGCGAAGGCAAUCCCCUGGGCCUGUACUGAC